UCUGGUGGCUGUACCAUUCUGAGAAUACCUGAUCUUAUGGAUUUUAAGAGGCUAAGCAGGGUGUGGGCUGGUCACGUCUUGGAUUGAAGAUUGCCUGGGUAAACCAGGUGCUAGAAGAU
This 119-nucleotide ribosomal RNA is filed under the name Astyanax mexicanus (Mexican tetra). Lineage: Eukaryota; Metazoa; Chordata; Actinopteri; Characiformes; Acestrorhamphidae. The record is from RNAcentral.